GAUGAAGAACGCAGUGAAAUGCGAUACUUGGUGUGAAUUGCAGAAUCCCGUGAACCAUCGAGUCUUUGAACGCAAGUUGCGCCCGAAGCCAUCAGGUUGAGGGCACGUCUGCCUGGGCGUCACAUAUCGUUGCCCAAUGCCUAUUGCAGUGCAAUAGGAAUUUCUAGGGCGAAUGAUGGCUUCCCGUGAGCGUUGUUGCCUCGCGGUUGGUUGAAAAUCGAGUCCUUGGUAGGGUGUGCCAUGGUAGAUGGUGGUCGAGUUAGAACGAUACCGAUCAUGUGCAUGCUCCCCAAAAUAUGGCCUCUAUGACCCACACGCGUCUUUUGACGAUCAUGACGAGACCUCAGGUCAGGCGGGGCUACCCGCUGAAUUUAAGCAUAUCAAUAAGCGGAGGA
RNAcentral lists this unclassified non-coding RNA (395 nucleotides) under soil metagenome. RNAcentral describes it as "partial contains 5.8S ribosomal RNA, internal transcribed spacer 2, and large subunit ribosomal RNA". The stretch from base 1 to 122 matches the Rfam family "5.8S ribosomal RNA", at positions 35 to 154 of the family's 154-position model. The record is from RNAcentral.